CCCUGACAGAACCCUCUUUCCUGAGACAGCCUUUCUCCCCGAGGAGACCCUUCUCCAUGAGGGGACCAAUCCUCUCUGAGGAGACCCUUCUCCCUGAAGGAACCCUCCUUCCUGAGGUGUUUCUUCUUGUCCCUGGGGGGACCUUUUCUCCUAAAGAGACCCUUUUCGCUGAGAGGACCCUUCUCCUCGAGAGGACCCUCCUUUUUGAGGGAACCCUCCUCCCUGAAAGACCCUUCUCCCUGAGGGAAUCCUCCUCCUGAGGGGACCCUUUACCCUGAGGGGAUCCUCCUUUUUGGAGUGACCCUUCUCUCUGAGGGGACCCUCCUCCCUGAGGCGUUUCUUGUCCUUGAGGGGACCCCUUACCCUGCAGAGACCCUCCUUUUUGAGGGAACUCUGCUCCCUUAGGAGACCCUUCUCCCUGAGGAGACCCUUCUCCCUGAGCUGCCCUGGCCCUAAAACAUUUUUCAAAAAAUAGAAGUAAAAAUUCAGAGCUGUAACCGGGGCAGAGCGACCACCUCCAGCAGCCCCUGUCAGAGCUGAGAUGCCGGGAUGACCUGUGUUGAGGCAUUUUAAAAACCAUCCCAAAAAUUAUGCCCGGAAGAUCUGUGGCAGAAGGUGCUGCCAGCCCUGAUCUGUGCUGGAAACAGCUCUUGGCUUUUGGGAAGGACAAGGCUGUGUAAUAUACACACAAACAAACACACACAAACAAACACACACAAACACAAACACACACACACAAACACACACACACAAACACACACACACAAACAAACACACACGCUCUUUCAUUUUCAGGGUAAACAGUCAGGGGCUGGUGGAUUUCAAUGGCAAUGGGGAGUGGAGGGAAAACACAACAAUUUCUCAAUGAAUAGGUUAAACUUCUAUCUCCUGACUGGCAAAAUCAGCCCGGUUUGAGGCUGAGGGGUAAAAAGCCUGUACAAGGGCUGAAGGACUAAUGCAAGGUCACAGGCAUUGUGCUUAGAGAUCAGCCCUGCACUUCAGUCAGAUGUGAAUACCUGUGAGAAAAAUUAAAACUUCAGUGGUCACAAAACUAGUCCCAGAAUUCACUUUUUUUUCAGGUUAACAAUUUUCUAUCUCACAUUACUCAGCAGCAUUCUCCUUGUACUUUUAGCCACAGGAUUUGGCUCCUGUAACAUACCAAGGCCUUUGCCUUCAUAGCAGUGACACCUCAAUCGACUGUGCUUUGUCUGACUCCAGUUGGUUUCCUCGCAGCCCAAGCUCACUGUGAAGACUCCUCCUCCUUCCAGCCCCGGGGAAGACCUGCAGAUUCCCACAAAACUGGUGCUGUGUGAGUUCCUGCAACCAAAUGGAACAGAUGAGAGUUAGAAACACACUGACCAGAAUUCCAAGGUGACUAUGUUUGAACGAGUGGAGACAGAUUUCGAUUUGUUACAGUCACCACUAGAGGCACAGGAGUUACCCGGCUUGUAUCAGCAGGCUGUGUCUGGAGGAUCUCUUUCAGUCUGGAAAUACAAGAUUAGAGAUUCUGGUCUAACUUACCUUGCCCUGAGACUGACUGACCAGUAUCACCUUCACAAACAUAUGAUGAUUUAAUGACCUUUUUCUCCAACUACUGAGCACAGAAGCAGUCACAAGCUGCUAGAGUGUACCUGGCCUGCCUUAGCUCCAAGCAGCCAGUUUUGCAAAGAUAGGUUCUGCUUUAGCCUCUUUUGUUCAAGUCCCUGUGAACUGUGGGUUUAUUUGCCUUGUCUGUCAAUCUAAACCGAGCUUCCUGCUGCUACUGGCUGGUGUUUUGUCACUGCCUGUGACAGUAGGCUGUAAACUGCAGGGUAACUAACUCUUAAGGCCACAAGGUACUCACACUAAAUCAGCCAGAUCAUGCUCCUGCUGCGAGGGAAUUUCCAGGUCACAAAUUGACACCCUCUCAUCGCCUUUUUGCACCAAGAGUGUAUGAAAUCAAGUUAAAACCUGGUGCACAAGGGCAACAGUUCACAGCACUCCUGAAAUGAGUGGUCACUUCCUCAUGUAUAUUCUCAGAUACUCAGCAGAGCGAGUCAAGUGUCCCCAGCUUUGUUUCUGCCAGUAAGAAAGAGAGAAUACACUAAGAUGCCUUUUAAGGACAUUCAGGAAUAUAUUGGUGUAUAAAAAAGAGGAAGAAAACGCAAGAGGGUUCUAAAAACAAUUGUGGCUAAUUUUGUGAAUUGCUGAUAGACUUGUGUUUGUUUGCAGAGGGAAAAAAACCAAACCCACAAAACCCCAAACUGUUUUAUUUAAAAGACUGUAUACCUUUGACUUGCAUAAAAGGAAGAUGUUUGGUUUUAUUACUUUGCCAAGACUACAGAAAAUCUAAAUGGCCUUAGUUUCAAAUAAUUCUCAUAUCAGUAAAGUCUCUCAUUUCAAGUAAAUCUCCUUCAGUUAAAGGAAAUUAUUGCAAGGUAACAAUGGAAUGUAAAUUAUGAGCUGAGCAGCUGUGUCUUUAUAUCAAGCACUUCUGUUUUAUUCAGAUUAUCUUUUAGUUCCUUUAAAAUUAAUUUUUCUCCUAUCUUGAGUUAAAAGAGAGAAAUUUUGCUGCUCCUCAGUUUUGCAGAUGUGUGUUGUCACCCUCUCUGUCAGUGAUGCAGAGAAUCAUUCUGAUUCACCUUUGCACUGUGUUCUUAUUGAAGGCCUGCUGAGAAAGGGACCCUGCUGUGCCAAAGACUGUGCAGACAGAGAGACAGAGGAUUUCUGUUCCCAAGAGUUUAUAAUUAGCUACAUUCACACACACAUUGAGCAGAACACCAGUCCUCUCAGCCACAGACACCAGAGAACUCCAAAAAAUGGUGUGGAGUGUGUCUAUCAGAGUCCAAAGUCUUUGGCUUACCUGGAGUAAACAAGUACCCACAACAGGGUGGUUAUUGCCCAAAGCAAUACUUCCCAAACCAGUGCAGAUUGUGGGAGCAUCCAGUUAUUGCUACCUGCUCAGCGCUGGGAUCUCUGCUCCAGAAGUAUCUGGGAAAAGGUCUGUUCUUAUCUUGCUCUGUGGCCUCAGGCAGGUUAGUUGUACAUCUCUCCAUACAAAUCCUGCAAGAGUGAAGGGUGUAAUGCCCCUGAUUUUUCUCAACUGCUGUAGCAACAUGCUUUCUAACAACACAGGGAGGAAAAGUAACAGCACCGUUGUUACAAGUUCCCCUGAAACCACCUUUUAUUCCCAUCCUGCAGAAGGACCCCCCUUGCCUAAGGCACCACCUUUCAGAGCUGAUGUACCUGCCAAGCAGGAGUUGCACAGAAUAAAACUGAUUCCUGUGGCUUGAGGUGCAUCAAAAAGCACUUUGCACUCAAAAGCAGCCACAAAUCUGGCAGGAGCACGAGGCCACCACCAAAACUGGGUGUUACACGAUACCUUAUUCCACUUGGGAAGAGCUGGCUGUUUCUAUGGCUACUGCUGCUUUUCUCUCCAACACACCAACCAUUGGUUCUGAUGAGAUCAUACUGUAUUAUAGAAAAAAAAUCACUCACAUACUGCUUUACACUGCAGCAUUUGUUGAGCUACUAUAUAUCUGACUUCCUAUAAUAAAGACAUUUUCCAUUUAAUGUAUUCUUAUAAAUGGGUAGGAUUUCCCUCAUCUCUGAUUUAUAAAUGCAUCCAUUUUGGCCUCGAAAAUCCUGGUUCUGGUUUCCAUGACAACAGGCUUGAUUUUGGAGGCUAUUUCUUCCCCUUACUUCAUCUUGGGUGGGAAGAGUUUCUGUCCCCUUCCAGUAGCAGUGCAAUGGGCAAGCAAAAUGGUUGCCUUGGAGGAAAAUGAGCAGACCUGAAACCAGAAACUUCAGCCAGCUUUUUUAAACACAGGUGAGAAAUACAUGAGAAGAAUGGCACCACAAACCUAGCACAGGCUUGAGUCAGAUUUUUUGUACACUGAAAGUCAAAUGCACAUAUAAUCCCAGGAAAUUUUAGUUAUGUACCCCCCUGUCAGGUAUUUAACAAACUGAU
Long non-coding RNA from Corapipo altera (White-ruffed manakin), 3949 nucleotides. RefSeq lists it as uncharacterized. The transcript has 5 exons. The record is from RefSeq and is a predicted model, not a curated record. NCBI's taxonomy places the organism in Eukaryota, Metazoa, Chordata, Aves, Passeriformes, Pipridae.